This 253-nucleotide ribosomal RNA is filed under the name uncultured bacterium. Its description in RNAcentral is "partial 16S ribosomal RNA". It matches the Rfam family "Bacterial small subunit ribosomal RNA", at positions 524 to 776 of the family's 1533-position model. The record is from RNAcentral.
UACGUAGGGUGCGAGCGUUAAUCGGAAUUACUGGGCGUAAAGCGUGCGCAGGCGGUUUUGUAAGCCAGAUGUGAAAUCCCCGGGCUUAACCUGGGAAUGGCAUUUGGGACUGCAAGGCUGGAGUGUGGCAGAGGAGACUGGAAUUCCCGGUGUAGCAGUGAAAUGCGUAGAUAUCGGGAGGAAUACCGAUGGCGAAGGCAGGUCUCUGGGCUGACACUGACGCUCAUGCACGAAGGCGUGGGGAGCAAACAGG